Molecule: ribosomal RNA, 576 nt
Filed under: uncultured Bacillota bacterium
Lineage: Bacteria; Bacillati; Bacillota
Description: bacterial SSU rRNA
Rfam family: Bacterial small subunit ribosomal RNA
Source: RNAcentral
GGAUCCAGACUUUGAUUAUGGCUCAGGACGAACGCUGGCGGCGUGCUUAACACAUGCAAGUCGAGCGGGGAUAUUGUUGGAAGGUUUCGGCUGGAAGAUAAUAUUCUAGCGGCAGACGGGUGAGUAACGCGUGAGCAAUCUGUCCCAGACAGGGGGAUAACAGAUGGAAACAUCUGCUAAUACCGCAUAAGACCACGGAUGGGCAUCCAUUUGAGGUAAAAGAGAUAUCGGUUUGGGGUGAGCUCGCGUCCGAUUAGGUAGUUGGUGAGGUAACGGCCCACCAAGCCAGCGAUCGGUAGCCGACCUGAGAGGGUGAUCGGCCACAUUGGAACUGAGACACGGUCCAGACUCCUACGGGAGGCAGCAGUGGGGAAUAUUGGGCAAUGGGCGAAAGCCUGACCCAGCAACGCCGCGUGAAGGAAGAAGGUUUUCGGAUUGUAAACUUCUGUCCUAAGUGACGAAGGAAGUGACGGUAGCUUAGGAGGAAGCCCCGGCUAACUACGUGCCAGCAGCCGCGGUAAUACGUAGGGGGCGAGCGUUGUCCGGAAUGACUGGGCGUAAAGGGCGUGUAGGCGG